UCCUGGCAUGUGUCCUGACUGGGAAUUGAACCGUGACCUGCUGGUUCAUGGUUUUACCCUCAAGCACUGAGCCACACCAGCUGGGAGAUUUCUACUUUCUUAGUAAUGAACCACAAGUUCAAAGCUCUUGUGUUUGGAAAUUCAACAAGAAAAUGUGUUUCUAUUUCCUUAAAAAGCAGUGACCUUUUUGGAACAGAAUCCUGGGGGAAAGUCAUAGAAUGUAAAAUUCUGUGAUUUUCACACAUAAACUAUAAAUUCUAUAAUAUUAAAAGCAAUAACCUGACUUUUUAGUACUGGUCUCCAAGUGGAUGCAUCUCAUUCAAAUGUUAACUGCUAACAACUUGAGGUCCUCCAAAUCCAGCCAAAAAUCACUUGUGAACAUGAAGAAAUGGAAACAAAAGGAACAUCAGAUGGCUGAAUAGAGAAUAGCAAGCACCUGCUUGCUUUGGAAAAGCAGCUUCAGAUUUAAUUAAAAGAUACUGAUUCCAAAUAAGCAAUAACAUGUGAAAACAAAGAGCUAAUUUCUUUAGACCAAAAUAUUAGACUGAGAAUCGGUCGUAUCCAAUUUGGUGCCUCCAUCAGCACGUUUGGUGCCUCCAUCAGCACGUUUGGUUGAAAGCACAGGUUUGAUGUCUUUGAAGGGUUCACACUUCCACUGUGGAAUGAUGUACGUUUCCGCACCCAACAGAAACAAUGCCUCGAAAGGCUGUGUUCCCGGUGUCCUUUCCCAUCACCGCUCUCCGCGCUGUUUUCCUGAGCCGCAGGGUCGGCCUGGCACUUCCUCCAGGAGCGCUCCUGUCAGCUCGAAGCGCCAUUCACCCCACUGCUGAGUCAGCCCACCUUCACCCCACGACCUGGUAGCCACGCAAGGAGACCUUCACAUCUUGCACAAUAUUUUGUCUGGAUUGGAAUGGGCUCUAGGCCAAUUUCUUUAAAGCCCGUGCAGAUCUUCAGACAUUCACACAAUCACAUUUCUAAUUACGGAGGACCCUGAAAAUACAUCCCCUUGCAGCCUGAGCUGGACUGUUUGAUUCCACGUGAAGAUCUUUCACUGUGUCUCCCCCCCGGCUGACUUCCACAAACUCAGGCCGUCAUGAUCACUCCUAUUGUGGCAGGACCCUGUCCUAACAUGAAAAGCCAAGCUCUUAGAAGGAGUUCUAUAAAUAGAGUUAAUAAAGGUGAACAACCUGAAAUCGGAAGGGAGUAGGAAUCGGUGAUGGACUUCAAGUCUCCAACCUUCUCGGGGCUGGGAAGCCUUGCCAGCCCUGCUCCUGAGGAGCCGAGGGACAGAGGCCGCACAGAGCACACUCGGAGCUGAAGGGACCAUUCUUCUGUUACAAAGGCUCAUUACGGGUCAGAAGAAGACGUCAACCAUUCAGAGAGAAUCGCUUCUUGUUUUCCAGUGGAAUUCUGGUCAGCAAUGACAUUGUAUCGUAUAAUUCAUCAGGGCAGGAUAGGUUCCAAUUCAUGGGCAAACUCACUGUCGUAGAUCUGAACACCCUAGAAUCCAAGCCUAAGACAGUCAUUCUGGUGUGGGAAGUGUAUGGAAGGGGUGCUUUUCGAGGCAAGCUCUUCAGGGCGUAUGACAAGCAGGAAAGGGAAGAGGAAAGGCCUGAGCAAAGAUGUGGUCCUCUAUACAGGCUGGUCUCGAUCCGUUCCAUGGGAUCACAUCACAUCAUUAACUAUGACCGUCUCCCUUGAUGGGAGCUGGCCAGCCGUCGUAGCCCCAUGUCCAUCCAGCAUUGCCUGGUCCUAGUUGGAAGAGCAUAACCUCUAGGGGGUUGCAGUUGGCAUCAGCAAGUCUCUGGAAGGACGUGGAGGGCCAGUUCUGGGCCACUGGCAACCAGCAUUCACCGCUGCUGGAGAAGGGCGCCAGGCCUGGUGAAGGGAUAGGGCAUCCACCACACUCACUAACUGUGAUUCACUCCAAAACUAGGAACACACCCAGGACUCCGUCAGCUUCUAGGCAGACGGGAACGGGUCACCUCUGGCAUCGAGAGGGAGGUCAGGGGAUGGAAUGGUUGGCAAUCGCGCCCAGUUGCCUUUAAUUGCGUUACACCCUAUGACUUGCGCUUCCUUUGCUUGGUAACAAACUACAGCCCCCGGCAUAAUGUAUCCUUAACCUAUUUUGGUGCUCAUAAUUCAGAAUUAUUCCUUCUUCCCGCAUGCGAGAAAUGCUGCCAGUUUUGAGAAUAGCCAUUUAAGUGAAGGCCACGAGGCAGAACCUUCACAUUCAACUUGAUGAAAAAAAAACAGACUUUAUCAAUCACAAAGCACAAUUCUCUUUUAAUGGGAGGAGGGAGUUUUCGAUGGGGAGGUUUGGGGAAGUAGAGAGAACGCUCCCCCCUGAGGUCCGAGUUUUAUUGGCAUUGCUGGGUCCUGUCACGUGGGAACCCUUCACCCAGGGAGACACGCACACUCUGCUGGGGUGCGGCCCUCCCUGUCUCUCAGCUGGGCCACUGGGCAGUCCAUGUUCCUGCGCUCCCCCCAGACCUCGUGCUGGCUGGAGAGGGAGCGACCUGCAUCUCCGUGGCUGCUCUGCGGUGAACCGAGGCGUCAGAAUGGCGCUGAGCUUCUGCGCCAGCAGGGAGGAGGCUGGCUACUUGCUGCAGGAGAAAGAAAAAAUCACAAACCAAGGGCCAGAGAGGAAAGUGGCAGAUGGACUUCCGGUGGAAGCUCAGCUGUGAGCCAUCAUGCGGCUCCUUCUGGCAUCUUCCUUGCUACUCCCCCGCUCCAUCCACACCCGCAAAGAAACUGUUUCCCAACGGUGAGGCAAAGCUUGCAAGGCCUUCUAACCCGGCCUAUGGUCAAGUCCAACAAAGAAGUUAUGAUGAGUUUUCAUUGACCCUUCUCCAAACAUCCCUUAGCUGGGGCCAUGGAAGCUGUCAGCCAGGAGGGCCAACUCACUGCCGUGUAUCUGGGGCUCAGUGGCCAUUCUGUGGCCACACGGUGACCUGAGCGGAGCACUGGGUGGGGGUCGGUCAGUGCUGCUCCUACUCUGAUCAAGUUGAUUGAUCGUCAUUGGAUUAGAAUCCUGAUUUGUGGGAGUAAAUGGCAACUUUGGGUUUAACUAUUGGUGCAAAAGAGUAAGACGUUAUUUGUAAUGCUUGUAUGUAGUUGGGGAGGAUCGGCGAAUGCAUUUAUAAAGUGUCUUCAUAAACAGGAGAGAAGGAGAGCAAUGUGGAGAUGGAGGAGGAAAGGGGUAAAAAGUUCUUCCUUAGAUUUUCCGGAGUUUACAGGAGUCUAAGGUCAGCUGGGUUUCUACGUCAGCAUUGAUACACGUUUCCCUCUUCAUGGGGCCUGGGCUCAGUUUCAGAACAGAAUUUUACCUCUUCACAAAUUCAUCUGAGCAAAAUGCAAACGAGGUGGACAAAAGCACUAAAGCUAGAGUAAUAGCCUCCUUGUAAUGCUUUGUGUUUGUUUCCUGACAAUGAGGAGAUUAAAGCAAAAAAAUAAUUUUUUAAAAAGAAAAAGAAAAAAGAUCAAACACAGCUAAAUGUCCGCCAUUCAGCAGCCAAUGGGAGCCCCUAGGCCUGAGCCAGCUGUACUAACACCAUCGCCUUAGCUUCGAAUUGAAUACGCAAGACUCAGAAAGCAACGUGCCUGCUCCUCCUCUCCCUCCCCCUGCAGGGUGGGGAGCCGGAAAGACAAGCUUGCAGAGAGGAAAUGGAGGGGGACCCUUAGGCUCUCCGCACACAUUUAUUCACGCGGGACAGGAAAUGUCUGCGGCCCUGGCUCAGGUGGAGGAGGCCGUGGAGAAGUCUGGUCUGUGAGGGGCCCUGAGACAUGCUCACUGGGAGAGGAGCCCGGGCUCUCAGGGAGGGCGAGGACAUCAGUCCUGGCCUGGAGGGACUUGCCGUGAACCCCUCUGCCAGGGCCCAGACAGCAGUGGACAGGCAAUCCCGACGAUGCCCGGAGAGCUCGGAGCAAAUAGAUGUGAGGCUUGGCUGCUUCUUAUUGUUACAUCACGAUGUCACGGCCACAGAUGACUCCAUUCCCACCCAGUCUAUGGGCGACAGGAGGUCACAGACAUUAAGGAAGUCACAGCACAUUUAGAAAAGCGGCCCUCAGAAGCAUAAGUAGGAAGCCAUUUCUGACGGGAGACGAGUAGAAUGUUUGUAAAGACCCGUUGGAAGGCCUUCCCGCGCGGACCUUACAUGCGGUUUUUCUUUCAAUUCUUGUGAAAGGUAAGCGAGAUCGGCAGCUGAUCUGGUCCCCGCUUAGACAUAACUGCUUGUCCUGACGAGCUCGGAGGAAAGCUAUGAGUCUAAUGGUUCGUAGGCUGCCCUGAGUGUCUCUCCACGCUGGGCUGUGUCCACCGUCACGGAGGUCCCGUCACGUGCAUGUGGAACGGGAGUCGAGUUGGGCAACGUCUGACCAGGUUGCUUCCUGGCAUCCGAGGCCGCCACACCAGCUGAUGGGAAGCCCUAAGGUGCCUUUGUGUCCCUUCACCUUGCCUAUAAUUCUCCUUCCUCUCCUGCUGGGACACAUCGGUGGGACCCACGCACAGUCACUGAGGAUGCUGCUCUGUCCUCGGAAACUCCGGUGCAGGCCCUGGCGCUGCUGCCCCAGCCCGCUCCCAGCUCAGCCAAACGCCGGCCACAUGGAGAGGGGAGUGAGCCCGUCAAUGCCGCUGGAGCGAUCAGACUUGCUGCUUCCUUACAGGCGGUCUCAGGGGCCAUAUCUGCCCGGGAGGCAGGCGCGUAGCUUCCCGCUGGAACCAAUAGCGGGCCGUGUGCACCGCGCUGGGCGCUCCAGGGUCCCGUGCAUUUACCCACCGCGCACUUUCUCUCUAAAGUCCAGGCCCGGCUGCGGUGCGCACCUCCUGGGCCCUGUGGCUCUCCUGCUGGAGCUGGAGCUGGAGCUGGAGCUGGAGCUGGAGGCGCUGUGCUCUGUCCUCUGUUCCUGUGUCAGCAAAGGGUUUCCUGCUCUGCGAGUUCCAAGGACUCUGCUGCCCCACCGGGGACUCCCCAUCUGUAGCUGCCUGAAGCCUUCGCUCAGAACAAGCCACCAGGUCUGCAGGCGGGACCUGCAGCGUGUCUGCUGAUGUUCCCGGCGUGGCAAGGCUCUGCAGCCCAAGCGCUGGGGCCCUGAGGCCCUGGGCAUGACCCCUGCACCCCACACCUUGACGUCUGUCCUGCUCCCGGUGCAGAUCUUGGGGUCGCUGCCUUUGUCUUGCUUUCCUACCUGUUCUAGCCAACAGCAGCGUCAGAGCAAGCAGCGCUUCAGAAAAGAGGGUAACACAGUGGGGGGGCAUGGGCAGACCUUCCUCAAAUUCCAGGGCUGGCUAGUAACCAGGCGACUGAACCAGCCUCUUUGAGUGACAUUUACAUGUUAAAGGCGUGUACUAGUGCCUAGCUUGAAUAAGUGUUAUAAAGAUGGAAACAAGGCCGGCCAGUGUGGCUCAGAGGUUGAGCAUCAACCCAUGAACCAUGAGGUCACUGGUUUGAUUCCCACUCA
Long non-coding RNA from Myotis lucifugus (little brown bat), 5460 nucleotides. RefSeq lists it as uncharacterized. The record is from RefSeq and is a predicted model, not a curated record. NCBI's taxonomy places the organism in Eukaryota, Metazoa, Chordata, Mammalia, Chiroptera, Vespertilionidae. The transcript has 2 exons.